Molecule: ribosomal RNA, 274 nt
Filed under: uncultured bacterium
Lineage: Bacteria
Description: partial 16S ribosomal RNA
Rfam family: Bacterial small subunit ribosomal RNA
Source: RNAcentral
AUACGGAGGGAGCGAGCGUUAAUCGGAAUUACUGGGCGUAAAGCGCGCGUAGGCGGCUUUGGAAGUCGGAUGUGAAAGCCCUGGGCUCAACCUGGGAAUGGCAUUCGAUACUGCAUAACUAGAGUAUGGUAGAGGGAAGUGGAAUUUCCGGUGUAGCGGUGAAAUGCGUAGAUAUCGGAAGGAACACCAGUGGCGAAGGCGACUUCCUGGGCCAAUACUGACGCUGAGGUGCGAAAGCGUGGGGAGCAAACAGGAUUAGAAACCCCAGUAGUCC